Molecule: ribosomal RNA, 247 nt
Filed under: uncultured bacterium
Lineage: Bacteria
Description: partial 16S rRNA
Rfam family: Bacterial small subunit ribosomal RNA
Source: RNAcentral
GUGCCAGCCGCCGCGGUAAUACGUAGGGGGCAAGCGUUGUCCGGAAUUACUGGGCGUAAAGCGCACGCAGGCGGCCCAUCAAGUCGGUUGUAAAAGGCAGUGGCUCAACUACUGUAAGACGGCCGAUACUGAUGAGCUAGAGUAUGUGAGAGGGAAGCGGAAUUCCCGGUGUAGCGGUAGAAUGCGUAGAUAUCGGGAGGAACACCAGUGGCGAAGGCGGCUUCCUGGCACAAGACUGACGCUCAUG